UACGAAGGGGGCUAGCGUUGCUCGGAAUCACUGGGCGUAAAGGGUGCGCAGGCGGUCCUUUAAGUCAGGGGUGAAAGCCCAGAGCUCAACUCUGGAACUGCCUUUGAAACUAGAGGACUUGGGUACGGGAGAGGUGAGUGGAAUUCCGAGUGUAGAGGUGAAAUUCGUAGAUAUUCGGAAGAACACCAGUGGCGAAGGCGGCUCACUGGCCCGUUACCGACGCUCAGGCGCGACAGCGUGGGGAGCAAACAGG
RNAcentral lists this ribosomal RNA (253 nucleotides) under uncultured bacterium. RNAcentral describes it as "partial 16S ribosomal RNA". It matches the Rfam family "Bacterial small subunit ribosomal RNA", at positions 524 to 776 of the family's 1533-position model. The record is from RNAcentral.